Non-coding RNA from Pelobates cultripes (western spadefoot toad), 248 nucleotides. The record is from the annotation of a GenBank genome assembly. Lineage: Eukaryota; Metazoa; Chordata; Amphibia; Anura; Pelobatidae.
CAGCACAGAGAGCAGAACUAGAAGCAUUAAAAACAGUACUGACACUUGAGGAAAAAGAAGGGCAUCCCCUAGUGAUAUAUAGUGAUAGUUCAUAUGUAGUUAGAUCACUUACAGAACAUUUAGCUAUAUGGAAAAGAAGGGGGUUCGUAGAUGCCUCAAAUAAAGUGUUAGCACACAAAGAGACACUAGAGACCAUAUUUGGAAUUGCGUCUCAAGAGCCAUGUUUACAUGCUAUAGUUAAAGUUCCU